This 326-nucleotide ribosomal RNA is filed under the name Enterococcus faecium. RNAcentral's name for it is "bacterial SSU rRNA". It matches the Rfam family "Bacterial small subunit ribosomal RNA", at positions 340 to 657 of the family's 1533-position model. The record is from RNAcentral. Lineage: Bacteria; Bacillati; Bacillota; Bacilli; Lactobacillales; Enterococcaceae.
UACGGGAGGCAGCAGUGGGGAAUAUUGGACAAUGGGCGAAAGCCUGAUCCAGCCAUGCCGCGUGUGUGAAGAAGGCCUUUUGGUUGUAAAGCACUUUAAGCGAGGAGGAGGCUACUUAGAUUAAUACUCUAGGAUAGUGGACGUUACUCGCAGAAUAAGCACCGGCUAACUCUGUGCCAGCAGCCGCGGUAAUACAGAGGGUGCGAGCGUUAAUCGGAUUUACUGGGCGUAAAGCGUGCGUAGGCGGCUUCUUAAGUCGGAUGUGAAAUCCCUGAGCUUAACUUAGGAAUUGCAUUCGAUACUGGGAAGCUAGAGUAUGGGAGAGG